RNAcentral lists this ribosomal RNA (1423 nucleotides) under metagenome. RNAcentral's name for it is "bacterial LSU rRNA". It matches the Rfam family "Bacterial large subunit ribosomal RNA", at positions 1525 to 2925 of the family's 2925-position model. The record is from RNAcentral.
UUGUAUCUUAGGCAAAUCCGGGGUACUCUAUGCUGAGAUCUGAUAGCAAGCUGUACUUGUACAGCGAAGUGGUUGAUGCCAUGCUUCCAGGAAAAGUCUCUAAGCUUCAGCUACACAGGAAUCGUACCCGAAACCGACACAGGUGGUCAGGUCGAGUAGACCAAGGCGCUUGAGAGAACUCUGCUGAAGGAACUAGGCAAAAUGGUACCGUAACUUCGGGAGAAGGUACGCUGUUGUUGGUGAUGGAACUCGCUUCCUGAGCUGACGACAGCCGCAGAAACCAGGCCGCUGCAACUGUUUAUUAAAAACAUAGCACUCUGCAAACACGAAAGUGGACGUAUAGGGUGUGAUGCCUGCCCGGUGCUGGAAGGUUAAUUGAUGGGGUUAGCGUAAGCGAAGCUCUUGAUCGAAGCCCCAGUAAACGGCGGCCGUAACAAUAACGGUCCUAAGGUAGCGAAAUUCCUUGUCGGGUAAGUUCCGACCUGCACGAAUGGCAUAAUGAUGGCGGCGCUGUCUCCAGCAGAGGCUCAGUGAAAUCGAAAUCGCUGUGAAGAUGCAGUGUACCCGCGGCUAGACGGAAAGACCCCGUGAACCUUUACUGCAGCUUGACACUGAACUUUGACCUUACUUGUGUAGGAUAGGUGGGAGGCUUUGAAGCUGGAACGCUAGUUCCAGUGGAGCCGUCCUUGAAAUACCACCCUGGUAAUGUUGAGGUUCUAACUCUGUCCCGUGAUCCGGGACGAGGACCGUGUCUGGUGGGUAGUUUGACCGGGGCGGUCUCCUCCUAAAGAGUAACGGAGGAGUACGAAGGUGCGCUCAGCGUGGUCGGAAAUCACGCGUAGAGUAUAAAGGCAAAAGCGCGCUUAACUGCGAGACCCACAAGUCGAGCAGGUACGAAAGUAGGUCUUAGUGAUCCGGUGGUUCUGUAUGGAAGGGCCAUCGCUCAACGGAUAAAAGGUACUCUGGGGAUAACAGGCUGAUACCGCCCAAGAGUUCAUAUCGACGGCGGUGUUUGGCACCUCGAUGUCGGCUCAUCUCAUCCUGGGGCUGAAGCAGGUCCCAAGGGUAUGGCUGUUCGCCAUUUAAAGAGGUACGCGAGCUGGGUUUAGAACGUCGUGAGACAGUUCGGUCCCUAUCUACCGUGGGCGCUGGAAAUUUGAGAGGAUCUGCUCCUAGUACGAGAGGACCAGAGUGGACGAACCUCUGGUGUACCGGUUGUGACGCCAGUCGCAUCGCCGGGUAGCUAUGUUCGGAAGGGAUAACCGCUGAAAGCAUCUAAGCGGGAAGCCUACCUCAAGAUAAGAUUUCCCUAGGACUUUAUGUCCUCUAAAGAGCCGUUCGAGACUAGGACGUUGAUAGGUUGGAUGUGGAAGCAUAGUGAUAUGUGAAGCUGACCAAUACUAAUUGCUCGUGAGGCUUGAUU